UACCUACCUCUGGCUUCGGUGAGCA
This 25-nucleotide non-coding RNA is filed under the name Mus musculus (house mouse). Lineage: Eukaryota; Metazoa; Chordata; Mammalia; Rodentia; Muridae. The record is from RNAcentral.